RNAcentral lists this unclassified non-coding RNA (381 nucleotides) under soil metagenome. RNAcentral describes it as "partial contains 5.8S ribosomal RNA, internal transcribed spacer 2, and large subunit ribosomal RNA". The stretch from base 1 to 120 matches the Rfam family "5.8S ribosomal RNA", at positions 35 to 154 of the family's 154-position model. The record is from RNAcentral.
GAUGAAGAACGUAGCGAAAUGCGAUAAGUAAUGUGAAUUGCAGAAUUCAGUUAAUCAUCGAAUCUUUGAACGCACCUUGCGCUCCUUGGUAUUCCGAGGAGCAUGCCUGUUUGAGUGUCAUUAAUAUAUCAACCUCUUCAGCUUAUGCUUGUUGAGUGUUGGAUGGUGGGGGUUUGCUGGUGUCUUAUGAAGUCAGCUCCUCUGAAAUGCAUUAGCGGAACAAUUUGUUGACCGUUCAUUGGUGUGAUAAAAAUAUCUACGCUAUUGACGUCAGUCAGUUCAGCUUCUAACAGUCCAUUGACUUGGACAAAUUUUUCAUUAAUGUGACCUCAAAUCAGGUAGGACUACCCGCUGAACUUAAGCAUAUCAAUAAGCGGAGGA